AACGAACGCUGGCGGCAGGCUUAACACAUGCAAGUCGAGCGGGCCCUUCGGGGUCAGCGGCCGACGGGUGAGUAACACGUGGGAACGUACCUUUUGGUUCGGAACAACUCCGGGAAACUGGAGCUAAUACCGGAUAAGCCCUUAGGGGGAAAGAUUUAUCGCCAAAAGAUCGGCCCGCGUCUGAUUAGCUAGUUGGUGGGGUAACGGCCCACCAAGGCGACGAUCAGUAGCUGGUCUGAGAGGAUGAUCAGCCACACUGGGACUGAGACACGGCCCAGACUCCUACGGGAGGCAGCAGUGGGGAAUAUUGGACAAUGGGCGCAAGCCUGAUCCAGCCAUGCCGCGUGAGUGAUGAAGGCCUUAGGGUUGUAAAGCUCUUUUGUCCGGGAAGAUAAUGACUGUACCGGAAGAAUAAGCCCCGGCUAACUUCGU
RNAcentral lists this ribosomal RNA (432 nucleotides) under uncultured bacterium. RNAcentral describes it as "partial 16S ribosomal RNA". It matches the Rfam family "Bacterial small subunit ribosomal RNA", at positions 29 to 506 of the family's 1533-position model. The record is from RNAcentral.